RNAcentral lists this transfer RNA (73 nucleotides) under Felis catus (domestic cat). It matches the Rfam family "tRNA". Rfam says of the family: Transfer RNA (tRNA) molecules are approximately 80 nucleotides in length. Lineage: Eukaryota; Metazoa; Chordata; Mammalia; Carnivora; Felidae. The record is from Rfam by way of RNAcentral.
GCCUGGCUGGCUCAGUCAGCAGAGCAUGUGACUCUCGAUCUUGGGGUUGUGAGUUCAAGCCCCACUUUGGGCA